GAUGAACGCUGGCGGCGUGCCUAAUACAUGCAAGUCGAGCGAACGGACGAGAAGCUUGUUUUUCUGAUGUUAGCGGCGGACGGGUGAGUAACACGUGGAUAACCUACCUAUAAGACUGGGACAACUUCGGGAAACCGGAGCUAAUACCGGAUAAUAUUUUGAACCACAUGGUUCAAAAGUGAAAGACGGUCUUGCUGUAAUUAAUAGAUAGAUCCGCGCUUCUUUAGUUAGUUGGUAAGGUAACGGCCUACCAAGGGAACGAUGCAUAGCCAACCUGAGAGGUUGAUCGGCCACACUGGACCUGGGACACGGUCCAGCCUCCUACGGGAGGCAGCAUCAGGGAAUCUUCCGCAAUGGGCAAAAUCCGGACGGAGCAACGCCGCGUGAUUGAUGAGGUUCUUCGGAUCGUAAAACUCUGUUAUUAGGGAAGAACAUAUGUGUAAGUAACUGUGCACAUCUUGACGGUACCUAAUCAGAAAGCCACGGCUAACUACGUG
This 497-nucleotide ribosomal RNA is filed under the name uncultured bacterium. RNAcentral's name for it is "partial 16S ribosomal RNA". It matches the Rfam family "Bacterial small subunit ribosomal RNA", at positions 28 to 507 of the family's 1533-position model. The record is from RNAcentral.